UACGUAGGGUGCAAGCGUUGUCCGGAAUUAUUGGGCGUAAAGAGCUCGUAGGCGGUCUGUCGCGUCGGAUGUGAAAAUCAGGGCUCAACCCUGGACCUGCAUUCGAUACGGGCAGACUAGAGUUCGGCAGGGGGAGACUGGAAUUCCUGGUGUAGCGGUGAAAUGCGCAGAUAUCAGGAGGAACACCGGUGGCGAAGGCGGGUCUCUGGGCCGAUACUGACGCUGAGGAGCGAAAAGCGUGGGGGAGCGAACAGG
Molecule: ribosomal RNA, 255 nt
Filed under: uncultured bacterium
Lineage: Bacteria
Description: partial 16S ribosomal RNA
Rfam family: Bacterial small subunit ribosomal RNA
Source: RNAcentral